AGAGAGAGACAUGCGCGCAUAUCAAUAAGCGGAGGAAAAGAAACUAACAAGGAUUCCCUUAGUAACGGCGAGUGAAGCGGGAAGAGCUCAAAUUUGAAAUCUUCAAGGUUUUACCUUGACGAAUUGUAGUUUAAAGAAGUGUUUUCUGCUGAAGUUUUGGUAAAAGUUCUUUGGAAUAGGACAUCAUAGAGGGUGAGAAUCCCGUAUUUGACCAUUAUUUUCAGCUUUGUGAUACGCUUUCAAAGAGUCGGAUUGUUUGGGAAUGCAGUCCAAAAUGGGUGGUAAAUUUCAUCUAAAGCUAAAUAUUGGCGAGAGACCGAUAGCGAACAAGUACCGUGAGGGAAAGAUGAAAGAACUUUGAAAAGAGAGUUAAACAGUACGUGAAAUUGUCAAAAGGGAAGCGUUUGACACCAGUGUUGUUUUCUCGAAAAUCAAUUAAAAAUGGCUCGAUUUUGUAUUGCUGAGACCUUAAAAGCUCACUGUACAUUUUUCGUGUCUUUUUUAAUGCACUUUUCGUUUAACAAGUCAACAUCAGUUUCUUUUGUUGUAAAAGGGUCAUUGGAAGGUGGCUUUCUUUUCGGAGAAAGUGUUUAUAGCCUUUGGCCUCUGCAAUCGGAAGAGACUGAGGUCUGCAGCGUAGACUCUUCGGGGUUAGAUACACUUGUGCUAAGUUAUAGCUUUUUAUAGACAACUUGUUGACUAUAAUUAGUCUUGUAGCUUACUCGCUUAUGCUAUUUUACCUACGCUUAGGAUGUUGAGUCGUAGAGCACGCAG
Molecule: ribosomal RNA, 774 nt
Filed under: uncultured Neocallimastigales
Lineage: Eukaryota; Fungi; Neocallimastigomycota; Neocallimastigomycetes; Neocallimastigales
Description: partial large subunit ribosomal RNA
Rfam family: Eukaryotic large subunit ribosomal RNA
Source: RNAcentral